UAUAACUAAUAACGCUGCACACGGUACAAUUCCGAACAUAUCUGACACGUCCAAUAUUCGAUAAAGCUCUCGCCGAAACUAUUAAGAUGCAACAAUGAAGGAAUAUUAUUAUUCGAAACUAGAUUGAACAAUAAAUUGGGUUUUCAUUGUUGGCGUGAAGCUUUCAGCGGAUUCCUAUGAAAUAUGAAGCGGUUACCGGAGUGAAUUAUUAAGGAAACGUGGGGACAGGCCUUGAUUUCGGGAGUUAUGAAUACAAAUAACUCCUAAUGGAUUCCUUCAGAGAUGACGAGAGGAAGGUCCUUCGAGAAAUUAACUGUGAAAAUUAAAAUGUUUGCCAUCAUGAUAUUGGAUACGCCUCCAGAUUCGUGGAUCGUAUUUUAAAGAGGAUACCAGUUAGCGACUUAUUUUUGUACCAAUUUUCAUGCAGUUAGCUCUGUGAUAGUUUCCGAAAAAAUUCAGAUGGCGUUCUUAAAAGAAGGAUAUUCUAUUUAAUCUGUAUAUUCCAUACCACUUGAAAAGUAAUAUAAUAGUUGAUAGAAUGAAUAAAAUAUUCUACGAGAUAGGAUGAAAGAAUAAACCACUAAGUGGAAUUUGCAAUGC
Harmonia axyridis is the source of this 600-nucleotide long non-coding RNA. RefSeq lists it as uncharacterized. The record is from RefSeq and is a predicted model, not a curated record. Lineage: Eukaryota; Metazoa; Arthropoda; Insecta; Coleoptera; Coccinellidae. The transcript is spliced from 2 exons.